RNAcentral lists this ribosomal RNA (50 nucleotides) under Dendrobium moniliforme. Its description in RNAcentral is "partial 26S ribosomal RNA". RNAcentral also lists the same sequence under 2 other names. The record is from RNAcentral. Lineage: Eukaryota; Viridiplantae; Streptophyta; Magnoliopsida; Asparagales; Orchidaceae.
GUGACCCCAGGAUGGGCGAGGCCACCCGCCGAGUUUAAGCAUAUCAAUAA